GCAAUAGUCAGUCAGUCAACGAAAGAUCUCGUAGCAUAAACAUCUAAAAUAUAUCCAAGAAAUAUUUCCUAAAAAAAAAAUAUAUAUUUUUAAAAUGGUCAUCAAUACAAUGGAUCCACACCAAGGAAAACCAGUCAGGAAUUAUUUGAUCUUAACUGCGGCGCUGCUAGCACUUGUGUCUUUGAUGAUCUAUUUCCAAAAUGCUGUAUUCAUCACACAUCGUGAGACCUCAGGAUUCUGGAAGGUGGUAAAGAUGAUUACUGACUAUUUAGGGGUGCCUGGAAAGCCCAAAGUUGUGCCCAGCUAUUAUCAAAGAAUGUUGAACUACGUGAUGUGCUAAUUAUCGUUGGUAAUCAGUCGGAUCGUUACUUUCAAUGCAAAAAAGUUCGUAAAAUUGAAAAUUUCAAGAUUCAGAAACCCAAACGAUAUGUUACGAACCACGGGAUCCGAAAGCUGUGAUUUUUACUUUAAUACAAUGUGAUACUUCUGAAGACCUGAAAAAUCAGUUGGAUCCUCAGUUGGAUGCACAGUAUACCUCAACACCAAGACGCAGACACCACUUCUGGAAGCCAAGAACCCUCAUCUAUAUUUUAAUACAAUCUUAAACCAUCUGAAGUCCUAAGAAAUUAUUUGGAUCUUCGUCAAUAUCACAUAAAACAGGGAUAUUAACUAAUACACAAAGUGGAGCGGAUAAUCUUCGUCUAUAUGCUGGAAGAAUCUGGAACCCUAAUCAUCCAAAGAAACACUGGCAACUCUACCACUAUCACAUGCAAAUGUUAUCGUCGCCUGGCAACCUUUUAAUCUGUUCACCGCCCAUAAAAGUCAAUUUUGAAAUUGUUAUUUAAUAAAUGAUUUAUGCAAUUCAUUUA
Molecule: long non-coding RNA, 869 nt
Organism: Drosophila subpulchrella
Lineage: Eukaryota; Metazoa; Arthropoda; Insecta; Diptera; Drosophilidae
Exons: 2
Source: RefSeq, a predicted model, not a curated record